RNAcentral lists this ribosomal RNA (229 nucleotides) under uncultured bacterium. RNAcentral describes it as "partial 16S ribosomal RNA". It matches the Rfam family "Bacterial small subunit ribosomal RNA", at positions 568 to 796 of the family's 1533-position model. The record is from RNAcentral.
UGCGCAGGCGGAAUAUUAAGUCAGUGGUGAGAUCUUACGGCUCAACCGUAAAACUGCCAUUGAUACUGAUAUUCUUGAGUAUAGUUGUAGUGGGCGGAAUAUAUCAUGUAGCGGUGAAAUGCUUAGAUAUGAUAUAGAACACCGAUCGCGAAGGCAGCUCACUAAACUAUAACUGACGCUCAGGCACGAAAGCGUGGGGAGCAAACAGGAUUAGAUACCCUGGUAGUCC